RNAcentral lists this ribosomal RNA (468 nucleotides) under uncultured bacterium. Its description in RNAcentral is "partial 16S ribosomal RNA". It matches the Rfam family "Bacterial small subunit ribosomal RNA", at positions 28 to 507 of the family's 1533-position model. The record is from RNAcentral.
GGCGAACGCUGGCGGCGUGCUUAACACAUGCAAGUCGAACGGAAAGGCCCUGCUUUUGUGGGGUGCUCGAGUGGCGAACGGGUGAGUAACACGUGAGUAACCUGCCCUUGACUUUGGGAUAACUUCAGGAAACUGGGGCUAAUACCGGAUAGGAGCUCCUGCUGCAUGGUGGGGGUUGGAAAGUUUCGGCGGUUGGGGAUGGACUCGCGGCUUAUCAGCUUGUUGGUGGGGUAGUGGCUUACCAAGGCUUUGACGGGUAGCCGGCCUGAGAGGGUGGCCGGCAACAUGGGGGUUGGGAUGCGGCCCAGACCCCUACGGGAGGCAGCGGUGGGGAAUAUGGUACAAUGGGCGGAAGCCUGAUGCAGCAACGCCGCGUGCGGGAUGACGGCCUUCGGGUUGUAAACCGCUUUCGCCUGUGACGAAGCGUGAGUGACGGUAAUGGGUAAAGAAGCACCGGCUAACUACGUG